CAGUCGCCGCGGUAAUACGUAGGUCCCGAGCGUUGUCCGGAUUUAUUGGGCGUAAAGCGAGCGCAGGCGGUUAGAUAAGUCUGAAGUUAAAGGCUGUGGCUUAACCAUAGUACGCUUUGGAAACUGUUUAACUUGAGUGCAAGAGGGGAGAGUGGAAUUCCAUGUGUAGCGGUGAAAUGCGUAGAUAUAUGGAGGAACACCGGUGGCGAAAGCGGCCCUCUGGCUUGUAACUGACGCUGAGGCUCGAAAGCGUGGGGAGCAAACAGGAUUAGAUACCCCAGUAGUCCCUGUCUCUUAUACA
RNAcentral lists this ribosomal RNA (301 nucleotides) under uncultured bacterium. Its description in RNAcentral is "partial 16S ribosomal RNA". It matches the Rfam family "Bacterial small subunit ribosomal RNA", at positions 509 to 808 of the family's 1533-position model. The record is from RNAcentral.